This 290-nucleotide ribosomal RNA is filed under the name uncultured bacterium. RNAcentral's name for it is "partial 16S ribosomal RNA". It matches the Rfam family "Bacterial small subunit ribosomal RNA", at positions 773 to 1060 of the family's 1533-position model. The record is from RNAcentral.
GUGGAUUAGAUACCCCGGUAGUCCACGCCGUAAACGAUGGGCACUAGGUGUUCGGGGUAUUGACCCCCUGAGUGCCGCAGCUAACGCAUUAAGUGCCCCGCCUGGGGACUACGGCCGCAAGGCUAAAACUCAAAGGAAUUGACGGGGGCCCGCACAAGCGGUGGAGCAUGUGGUUUAAUUCGACGCAACGCGAAGAACCUUACCUGGGCUAGACAACAUCGGACAGCCCCAGAAAUGGGGUCUCCCCGCAAGGGGCCGGUGGUUCAGGUGCUGCACGGCUGUCGACAACU